This 353-nucleotide long non-coding RNA is filed under the name Gossypium raimondii (Peruvian cotton). RNAcentral describes it as "long non-coding RNA (GRAI_LNC005718)". The record is from RNAcentral. Lineage: Eukaryota; Viridiplantae; Streptophyta; Magnoliopsida; Malvales; Malvaceae.
UUUGGUAAACAGAGUUUUAGGCAUGUUUUAGAAUAUUUGGGCACAAAUGGAGGAUUGGAUAGUAAGUGUUCUGGGUGUGUGGAUGAGGUCUUAGGUUGAGUGGGGGAGUUAGGAUUUAGUAUGGUUUUGUUUUAAAUUAAAUUAUUUUUUUAUUAUGUUUUUUUUCUCUCUCCUCAAAAAUCUCGCGUUUCUUUUCGAGUGUUCUUCUUCUUCUCAAAAAGAAAGAAAUCCCCAUUAUUGUGUCUCUCUUUUUCUUUGUUCUCUGACAAGAAAAUUAAACUCCUUCCUCUACUUUUUGUUUUUGUCACUAAUCCUUACUCUUGGGUGUUUUGAAUCCUUAGUUUUUUGUGUAA